Molecule: ribosomal RNA, 253 nt
Filed under: uncultured bacterium
Lineage: Bacteria
Description: partial 16S ribosomal RNA
Rfam family: Bacterial small subunit ribosomal RNA
Source: RNAcentral
UACGUAGGGUGCAAGCGUUGUUCGGAAUCAUUGGGCGUAAAGCGUGCGUAGGUGGUUUUUUAAGUCCGUUGUGAAAGCCCUGGGCUCAACCUGGGAAUGGCAGUGGAUACUGGAAAGCUAGAGUGCGGUAGAGGGUAGUGGAAUUCCCGGUGUAGCAGUGAAAUGCGUAGAGAUCGGGAGGAACACCAGUGGCGAAGGCGGCUACCUGGACCAGCACUGACACUGAGGCACGAAAGCGUGGGGAGCAAACAGG